UCCAAACAACAUGGAGAAAAACGUUGUGUACUGCCUGCUGUGCAACGAGCCCCAGCUCUCCAUUUCGACUCACCUGAGCAGAGUGUGCCUGAAAGACGGCACAGCACAGGAGAGGGAGCAAGAAGCUUCCAGAGCUACUGCCUCCCAGGAGCUGUUUUCCAAGGAAGGCCGACUAUGGAGCAUCUCGGAGCUGCAGGAGUUUUGCAAGGAUGCAACAUCUUGCAUCAAACUCUGCAGUCGCCUUCAGAGUCGUGGCUUUAUCUUCACAGACGCUCCCCAAACCUGGCCAACAGUGCUGCCAACACAGAGGUCUGAUAAGAAGGAAGUCCUCAUCGUGGCCAAAAAGGACAUCGAGUAUUUCCACCAAAAGCUUGCAGGCGGUGAUUGCAUCCCCAACGUUGCCAUGACAACGUUCAGGCAGUACUGCGAGGCCAUCCUGAUGUUACAGCACGGACUGACAUCAAGUGCUGUUCAGGAUUUUUCUGUGCAGGACUGGAUGGAGCGAAGGGAAAGCUUGAGGAUGACCAUCCAGGAAGAAGAACUGUUGGAGUGCUACUUUAAGAACAUCCGCCCAGUGUCCUUACGAAACCAAAGAGCUGGCAGUGAUGAUGGGGACAGGUUCUUCCUGGGAGAAGGUGGGGUCCCUCUGACCAACCCAGCAUUAGAUGUAGGGCGCCUGAGGGCCAGAUACCUGGGCAGCGACACUGAGGAUCCUGCAGCUGGGUCAGCGUCACACUCAGCAGGAGGAGCAGAAACCUCGGGACAGGCCAGGUCCAUUUCCACAAAGCGCCUACCACUCAGAGAAUGGGAUGCCUUCCAGCGGACCUUCCCAGUAACACUAAAUGGAGAGCCACCUUCAAAACGCCGGUGUGUACAGGCUGGUUUUCCACACUACCGAGCCCACUACCACAAGUGGAGGGAGCUUCAGCUUAAGCAGAGAGUUCAGCACAUCCUCGGUGUGAUCGCCCUGAUGCCCUUCAACAAAGGAGACGUCGUCUGCGACUACCACGGGACGUGCAUCACCAAAGCUUCAGGGAAUCGGAGGCGGCAGUCGGGGUCUCUCUUCUUCUACAGGGACGAGUGCCACAGGGCUGAUGCCACUGCGUCCCCCUGUGCCUGCCACCUGCACAAGGACUCCUAUGGAAGGCACAUCAACCAUUGCCAAAGGAAUCCAAACGUGAGGCCACAAAGGUUCACAAUGAACUUCCCUGCUGGUCCUCGGGAGAGUGUGCUGUUCAUCGCCCUGAGGGACAUCGCGGUUGGAGAGGAACUCCUGUGGGACUAUGGAGUCUAGAGAUGGCACCGUGUUUUAUGUCCUAUCAUACAUUUGGAUAUCGGCCCAUACCGACAUGACUCUAAUAUAGUGUAUUUCAUAUAAACAUGGGCCAUAAAAACUAAAAAACACCAUCAAUGGCCAGUCCAGCUGUGGCUCCAUAUAUCUUUCUCAGAGGUGAAAUGCAGGUUAACUCGGUCCAUCCCUGAUGGAGUCACCCAUAAAUCCUUCGACUGGACAUUUGACUUGAGUUGUCUUUGUUUUUUGUUUUGUCUGACCUUUUCUGAUUAAAAACAUGUAAAAAUGUGAUCUCUCAUGCAGCAUUUAAACAUGAUGCUUAUGUCCCUGAUAACUAAACCACUGUUGUUGUUUUUUACCAAUAAUAAAAACUAUUAUUAACACAAUCAGAAAUAAAUCUCCCUCCCAGGCCUUUAUAUACCAAACCCUGUGGUGACAGCUGCAGUGGACACUUCAGGGCUCAAAUUUUCUCUGAUUGGCUCCAACCUUGACAGGCUCAGCCUGCUGCUGCCAACAACACUCACUAAGUUUCCCCACCGAGCACCUCAGGCCUCUGCAGUUACUGAUGAUCAUCAACCCAAGUUGGAGAUUUCCAAUCAGAACACCCAAACACUUCAUUUUAACCUGAACUCUUUACUUUCAGCCCAACACUAAUGUGGCCCUAAGCUUAACUUCAGGUUCACACCACUGUGUAAACCCAGCUCCACUUGAACCCUCAAACACCAAACUAAUGUUUUUAUGGUCAUUUUCAUAAAAAUAUUGGAGACCACAUUUAACGUAAUUAACAAAAACAUCCAUGCCACAUCAUUAAAAACAGGCUUUGUUACAGGAAUUAUUUCAGAUUUGACAAACUGAGGCUCUCCACCCACUGAGGGACAGGCAGUGAGUACUGUGAAACCUGGUGAACCUCCUACAGAACACUCAUCAUUUAGAGUCUGACGGGGGUUGACACUAAAAUACUUUAAAUGUUUAGCAUCAAGAUUAGACCCUUGGAUCGCACAUUUGAUUUGCUUUGUAGGGUUCUAAUAUAAUUAAUGAGAGAUUUGAUGCUAACGAUGCAGCUUUAUUAUCACUGGACGCUCGUCAGGCCUUGGACAGAAUAGACUGGUCAGAUUUAUUUAACGUUCUCCCCAGAUAUGGAUUUGAUGAAGGCUUGUUGUACCUGCCGUAUGAAAGAGGGGGUUACAAUUCCUUAAUCUUAAAUUGCAUUACUGGUCUGCACAGAUGCGCUCAUCCAUGCUCUAUUUUUCCACAUAGACACCCCCAGCCUGGAUAAAAACUGAACAAAAAACUGUGACAAACCUUCAAUUAAAUCUGUAUUUAUACUCUGCAACCCCCCAAAAAUGUUUUUUUAAAACGUUUCCACUUGACAGAAAUGUGUUUUUGUUUGAGAUUUCCGAGGAUCGCACAGUGUCAUCCUCAUGAAAAGGAAACACCUUGUGGCGUCAGGUGAGCUGCAAAAGGUGCU
Molecule: long non-coding RNA, 2759 nt
Filed under: Oreochromis niloticus (Nile tilapia)
Lineage: Eukaryota; Metazoa; Chordata; Actinopteri; Cichliformes; Cichlidae
Description: lncRNA (ENSONIG00000038549.1)
Source: RNAcentral